UGUGGGAGCGGGCUUGCCCGCGAUGGCGGCGUGUCAGUUUGCAAAUAUGUCGACUGAUACACUGCAAUCGCGGGCAAGCCCGCUCCCACA
Molecule: unclassified non-coding RNA, 90 nt
Filed under: Pseudomonas cedrina
Lineage: Bacteria; Pseudomonadati; Pseudomonadota; Gammaproteobacteria; Pseudomonadales; Pseudomonadaceae
Source: RNAcentral